This 253-nucleotide ribosomal RNA is filed under the name uncultured bacterium. Its description in RNAcentral is "partial 16S ribosomal RNA". It matches the Rfam family "Bacterial small subunit ribosomal RNA", at positions 524 to 776 of the family's 1533-position model. The record is from RNAcentral.
UACGGAGGGGGCUAGCGUUGUUCGGAAAUACUGGGCGUAAAGCGCACGUAGGCGGCGCCGCAAGUCAGGGGUGAAAUCCCGGGGCUCAACCCCGGAACUGCCCUUGAAACUGCAGUGCUUGAAUCUUGGAGAGGCGAGUGGAAUUCCGAGUGUAGAGGUGAAAUUCGUAGAUAUUCGGAGGAACACCAGUGGCGAAGGCGGCUCACUGGCUCGAUACUGACGCUGAGGUGCGAAAGCGUGGGGAGCAAACAGG